GGCUCUAGUGACUGCCAGCUUAGGUUGGAAUCCUGGCUUUGCCCUUGACGAGCUGUGUGACCCUGGGCAAAUUAUGUAGCCCCUCUGUGCCUUAGUUUCUACCCUUGUAAAAACAAUAAUAAUGUUAUUAUUUUCAUUAACUAACCUCUAGCCUACCUUGUGGAGGUGCUUGUGAUGAUUAAAUGGGUUAAUAUUUAUAAAGUACUUAGAAUAGUGCCUAAAGCAGAGCAGGCACUGAAUAAAUGCCAGCUAUUAUUUCUACUACCUUCACUCCUACUGGCCAUGGGGACACCUCUGGUGGUCCUGCCAUAAGUUGCCAAAGCAAUGGGGGUUUAUUACAAGGUAAGGGACAAUGCCCUCUUUGUAAUAUGACAUCAAAGGCAGGUACAGCUUAUGUCCAGUGUUUUCUGAAAUUACCACUGUGAUGGUUAAUUUUAGGUGCCAACUUGACUGGAUUAAGGAAUAGAGAACUGGUGAAGCACUGUUUCUGGGUGUGUCUGCCAGGGUUUCCACAGGAGACUGGUGUGUGAGUCAGUGGACUGAGUGGGGAAGACCCACCCUCAAUGUGGGCGGGCACCAUCCAACUGGCUGGGGGCCCAGAUAGAACAAAAAAAGGAGAGAAAAGGAUUUCCUCUCUCCUGGAGCUGGGACACUCUCCUACUCCUGCCCUCAGUCAUCAGAACUCCCGGCUCUCUGGCCUUGGGACUCCAGGACUUACACCAGCAGCCCCCUAGGUUCUUGGGCCUUUGACUUCAGUUUGAGAAGUACACCAUCAGCUUCCCUAGUUCUAGGGCUUUCAGACUUGGACUGAGCCACACUACCAGCAUCCCAGGGGCUCCCGCUUGCAGAUGCACCCUAUUGAGGGGCUUCUCAGCCUCCAGAAUCCACCCUCCCUUCUUAUACCAUCCUCCAAAGGACUGAGAUGAGCUAUGAGUCCAUGGGCACCCAGGCUAGAAGGCAAGUGAGUGACCGACACCAUCUACCCUCCCUCCCUCAGGGUUUUGUUACGGGCUCAGCUGGGUCCAGUCUGGCUCCAGCUCCCUUAGGAUGAGUUCUGCCCAGGAGACUCUUUCCUUCCUCACCUAGAUAGACUUCUUUGAAUCCCCCUCUUCCCAGUGCUUCCAAAGGGGGAAUUUAAAUCUGAUUCUUUAAAAAUAAUGAAACACCAGCUGUAUCAUUAAAUUAUUUCUAAGUGGAAUUCAGACUUAAUUUGAGUCUUUUAACAGUAGACUUUUAAAUGAAGCUCCUUAACUCAAGACUAAAGAAUACUACUGAUGUGGGCGUUCAUCUUUGAUGAUGAAGUCCCUGUUGAUAGUCUUAACAUUAGGACAGGAAGAGAAAAAUGAAAUUUUAAACAUACCAUUUACGUUAGCAUCAAAAAACAUCCGAUACCUAGGAAAAAGAUGUACAAGACUUCUACACAGAAAACCAUGAAACAUUACUAAGAAAAAUUAAAGACUUAAAGAACUAUGUAAGUAGAGAAACAUGCCAUAUUCCUAGACACAAAGAUUCAAUGUUAUAAAGAUGUCUGUUCUCCCCAAAUUGACCCAAAUAUUUAAUGCAGUUCCAAUCAAAAUUUGACAAAUUGUUUUGUGGAAAUUGAUGAGUCUAUACUUUAUAUGAAAUGCAAAGGGCCCAGAAUAGCCAAGACAAUACUGACAAAAAAAAAAAAAAAAAACAAAGUUGAAAUAAUUAUACUACCAAAUGGCAAACUUACUAUAAAAUUACAGCAGCAAGUAAGUCAGUAUGGUAUCAGCACAAACUUUUGCCAGUUAAGACAUAAAGAUAUGUGAAUACAGCAAUUGAGCAGAGAGUUUAGAAACAUACCCACACAUAUACAGUGCUCUAAUUUAUAACAACACCACUGCAAGAUAGGGGGGAAAGGAUUUUCUUUACCCUGUGGUGUGGGUCAACUGGACAUUCACAUGGAAAAACAAUGAACUGUGGCCCCUACCUCACACCAGUCAGAAAACUAAACUACAGAAUGGUUGUAGACAUAAACAUGAAAGGCAAAACGUUGAAACUUCCAGAGGAUAUAACACAGAAGAAUAUAUUUAUGCCCUUGAGGACGAGAAAUGACUUCUAAAGUAAAACACAAAAAGCACAAACCAUAAAGAGAACUGAUGAACUGGAUUUCAUUAAGAACUUCUGUUCAUCAAGACAACAUUAAGAGAGCAAAAGCAAACCACACAGAGGGAAAAUAAAUUUGCAGUACAUACAUCCAACAAAGGACUC
This 2235-nucleotide long non-coding RNA is filed under the name Homo sapiens (human). RNAcentral describes it as "HSALNT0298600". The record is from RNAcentral. Lineage: Eukaryota; Metazoa; Chordata; Mammalia; Primates; Hominidae.